RNAcentral lists this long non-coding RNA (376 nucleotides) under Cricetulus griseus (Chinese hamster). RNAcentral's name for it is "lncRNA (ENSCGRG00015032167.1)". Lineage: Eukaryota; Metazoa; Chordata; Mammalia; Rodentia; Cricetidae. The record is from RNAcentral.
GCCAGGCCCAGGGUCUCUCUCUUCCUGCUGCCUACUGAUCUGGAUGCAGAACUCUCGGCGACCUCUCCAGCACCACGCCUGCCUGUGUGCAGCCAUGCUUUCCACCAUAUAAUGGACCAAACUUCUGAAACUGUGUCUCCAGGCUUCUUUACCACUGAAAGCUGUGUGCCCAUUGCUUCCCACACAUGUCUCAGCCUUCUCUCUCUGGGAGCAGUAGGACCCUUACACCUCAUGGCUUUCCCCUGUUGGUCUCAGGUUGACUGGCACUCCCCAGAAGGCCUCCCUGGCCCCGGCCCAAGUCAGGAGCCUCCUGCAAUCACUUCAUGGCUUGCCUUCAUCUUCAUACAAAAUGUCAAGGACUUAUUUGAUAGGGAGG